Non-coding RNA from Bos taurus (domestic cattle), 72 nucleotides. NCBI's taxonomy places the organism in Eukaryota, Metazoa, Chordata, Mammalia, Artiodactyla, Bovidae. The record is from Rfam.
UCCCUUGUAGCUGAGUUGGUAAAGAAUCUGCCUGAAGUGCAGGAGACCCAGGUUCGAUUCCUAGGCUGGGAA